RNAcentral lists this unclassified non-coding RNA (293 nucleotides) under uncultured fungus. RNAcentral's name for it is "sequence contains ITS1". Lineage: Eukaryota; Fungi. The record is from RNAcentral.
CGGACUACAAGGGUUUCUAAUCCUGUUCGCUCCCCACGCUUUCGCUCCUCAGUGUCAGUAUUGGCCCAGAGACCUGCCUUCGCCAUCGGUGUUCCUCCUGAUAUCUGCGCAUUCCACCGCUACACCAGGAAUUCCAGUCUCCCCUACCAAACUCCAGCUCGACCGUAUCGGAUGCAGGUCAGGGGUUGAGCCCCUGAUUUUCACAUCCGACGUAUCGAACCACCUACGAGCUCUUUACGCCCAAUAAUUCCGGACAACGCUUGCACCCUAUGUAUUACCGCGGCGGCUGGCAC